CACAUGCAGUCGUACAAGGCAGCCGAGAGCUUGNCUCCUUGGCUGCGAGUGGCGGACGGCUUUGUAAUAUAUCGGAACGUGCCCAGUAGCGGGUGAUAACUACUCGAAAGAGUGGGUAAUACCGCAUACGCCCUACGGGGGAAAGGGGGGGAUCGCAAGACCUCUCACUAUUGGAGCGGCCGAUAUCGGAUUAGCUAGUUGGUGGGGUAAAGGCUCACCAAGGCAACGAUCCGUAGCUGGUUUGAGAGGACGACCAGCCACACUGGGACUGAGACACGGCCCAGACUCCUACGGGAGGCAGCAGUGGGGAAUUUUGGACAAUGGGGGAAACCCUGAUCCAGCCAUCCCGCGUGUAUGAUGAAGGCCUUCGGGUUGUAAAGUACUUUGGCAGAGAAGAAAGUAUCCCCUAAUACGGGAUACUGCUGACGGUAUCUGCAGAAUAAGCNCCGCUAACUACGUG
Molecule: ribosomal RNA, 460 nt
Filed under: bacterium tet-w-41
Lineage: Bacteria
Description: bacterial SSU rRNA
Rfam family: Bacterial small subunit ribosomal RNA
Source: RNAcentral